AUGUCACGUCGAGGUACUAAAGAAAAAAGAACUGCAGAAUCCGAUCCAAUUUUUCGUAAUCGAUUAGUUAAUAUGGUGGUCAACCGUGUUAUCAAAGAUGGAAAAAAAUCAUUGGCUUAUCAAAUUCCCUAUCAAGCCGUGAAAAAGAUUCAACGAAAGACUGAAACAAAUCUACUAUUGAUUUAAUGUCAAGCAAUGCGUAGAGUAACUCCCAAUAUGAUAGGAAAUUAA
Molecule: ribosomal RNA, 231 nt
Filed under: Triticum aestivum (bread wheat)
Lineage: Eukaryota; Viridiplantae; Streptophyta; Magnoliopsida; Poales; Poaceae
Description: partial small subunit ribosomal RNA
Source: RNAcentral